Molecule: long non-coding RNA, 491 nt
Organism: Daucus carota subsp. sativus
Lineage: Eukaryota; Viridiplantae; Streptophyta; Magnoliopsida; Apiales; Apiaceae
Exons: 3
Source: RefSeq, a predicted model, not a curated record
UCCUUUUUCCCUUGGACUGGAUGACAUAGAAAAAGAAAGUAAUCAAAAUUUGGUCACGCCAGAGCCAGAACCACAAGAGAGAGAAAAAAGCAAGCGGACAAAGAAAGUUGGUCCAUAUCAAAAAUCACCUUAUGUCAACAGGGUGAUUGAUAUCAAGGAAAGAAUGAACAAUGAAGACUUUGGAUAUUGGGUCUUCUUGCUAAAGAAAAAGGGCGAGCUAUUGGAUGAUUUGUUUAGAUGGGAGGAAGUGAGAUGUAUCAAGGAACACUUGUUGACGCUGAAACCAAAAACAAGUGUAUACUACUCUGUGAUCGAUACAUGGGCAACAAUCCUAAAUGACAGUGAAAAGUACAAGGCAGAUGGGUCACCACUAAGACUUUUCUGCACAAUAGGAGAUUUGAUUUUCAGCAUUGAUCCAGAAAAGAAAGUCACCGAAACUUAUGAUUCGUUUGCCAGUGGGAUGGACAAGAUUCUUCAAACUUUUUCCAUCA